AGAGUUUGAUCCUGGCUCAGGACGAACGCUGGCGGCGUGCUUAACACAUGCAAGUCGAACGAUGAACCAGGAGCUUGCUCUUGGGAAUUAGUGGCGAACGGGUGAGUAACACGUGAGUAACCUGCCCUUGACUCUGGGAUAACCUCCGGAAACGGAAGCUAAUACCGGAUACGAACUGCGGAGGCAUCUCCAGCAGUUGG
RNAcentral lists this ribosomal RNA (200 nucleotides) under uncultured bacterium. RNAcentral describes it as "partial 16S ribosomal RNA". It matches the Rfam family "Bacterial small subunit ribosomal RNA", at positions 8 to 203 of the family's 1533-position model. The record is from RNAcentral.